UACGUAGGGUGCGAGCGUUAAUCGGAAUUACUGGGCGUAAAGCGUGCGCAGGCGGUUUUGUAAGCCAGAUGUGAAAUCCCCGGGCUUAACCUGGGAAUGGCAUUUGGGACUGCAAGGCUCGAGUGCGGCAGAGGAGACUGGAAUUCCUGGUGUAGCAGUGAAAUGCGUAGAUAUCGAGAGGAACACCUGCGGCGAAGGCGGGUUGCUGGGCUGACACUGACGCUGAACUGCGAAAGCUAGGGGAGCGAACGGG
This 253-nucleotide ribosomal RNA is filed under the name uncultured bacterium. RNAcentral's name for it is "partial 16S ribosomal RNA". It matches the Rfam family "Bacterial small subunit ribosomal RNA", at positions 524 to 776 of the family's 1533-position model. The record is from RNAcentral.